GAGAGGGGCUGCUUAGCAAUGAGAACUGCUAAUUCUCACCCCUUUGGUUAAAGUCCAGAGCCCACUCA
This 68-nucleotide transfer RNA is filed under the name Lophiomus setigerus (blackmouth angler). RNAcentral's name for it is "tRNA-Ser". Lineage: Eukaryota; Metazoa; Chordata; Actinopteri; Lophiiformes; Lophiidae. The record is from RNAcentral.